GGAAGGUAGAGGUACCGACACCCCUAGCUGUGAGGUAUGCAUUAAGACUACAAGAACAGGUAACCAUAUAUCCCAGACCCUAAUUUGGCAUUCGCAAUAUGAGUGUAAAGGAGAUGUAUCAAGAUGCAGAUACUUAAAUAUAGAAUAUAGUGUGUGUCAUUUAGGAGUAGGAGAACCUAAGUGCUUCAGUCCUGAGUAUCAACCCCGUACAAUUUGGUUGACUCUCAGAAAUGGAGAUCCUCAGGGGACCCUAAUUAAUAAGAUGGUAUUAGAAUCCGUAUAUUCUUCAGGUGCUCUGCUAUUUGAUGCGUGUAAAGCAAUAUCAAGUGGUAGAAAGCCGUGGAAUGUAUGUGGGGAUCUUAGAUGGGAGAGGACGCAUGGGUCUAACGAUAAAUAUAUUUGUCCCAGUAGUAAAAAUAAAUAUGUAAGUCCAAGAUGCCCAAAUAGAGAUUAUAACUUCUGCCCAUAUUGGUCUUGUAUGGGGUGGGCGACUUGGGGACAGACAGCAGACAAG
Molecule: non-coding RNA, 514 nt
Organism: Pelobates cultripes (western spadefoot toad)
Lineage: Eukaryota; Metazoa; Chordata; Amphibia; Anura; Pelobatidae
Source: the annotation of a GenBank genome assembly